AGUUGAUUAUGGCUCAGACUGAACGCUGGCGGGAUGCUUUACACAUGCAAGUCGAACGCGCAUGGUUCUGGUCUGGUGGCGAGUGGCGAACGGGUGAGGAAUAUCGAACGUGCCUUUGGUAGUGGGGAUAAUCACGAAAGGUAGCUAUCAUCACAUAUCUCUGGUGCUGGGACCUUCUUGGCCCUUGCACUAUUAGAGUGGCUGAUAUCGUGGAUUAGCUAGCUGGUGGGGCAACGGCUCACCAAGGCUAUGACGAUCCGUGAGUUUGUCGAGAGGACGACCAGCCACACUGGGACCGAGACGAUAACUCAGACUUUACGGAGGCAGCAGUGGGGAAUUCUGGACAAUGGGGAAACCCUGAUCCAGCCAUCCCGCGCGGUGAUGGUUGGCUCGGGUUGUGUGCCACUUUACAGAAAGAAUCGGCACGGGAUGGACACCUCGCAACUGACGGUACCUGCAGAAUAAGCACCGGCUAACUACGUGCCAGCAGCCGCGGUAAUACGUAGGGUGGGAAGCGUUAAUCGGAAUUACUGGCGGAAGCGUGCGCAGGCGGUUCGGAAAGAAAGAUGAAAUCCCAGAGCUUAACUUUGAACUGCAUUUUUAACUACCGAGCUAGAGCAAACAGAGGGAGGUGAAUUCGCGUAGCAGGAAUGCGUAGAUAUGCGGAGGAACACCGAUGGCGAAGGCAGCCUCCUGGGAUAACACUGAUUGCUCAUGCACGAAAGCGUGGGGAUAAACAGAUUAGAUACCCUGGUAGUCCACGCCCUAAACGAUGUCAACUAGCUGCUGGGGCUCGGGCCCCUGGUAGCGCAGCUAACGCGUGCAGUUGACCGCCUGGGAGCAUGGUCGCAGAUUAAACUCAGCGAAUUGAUGGGGACCCGCACAUGGUGGAUGAUGUGGAUUAAUUCGAUGCAACACGAAAACCUUACCUACCCUUGACAUGUCUGGAAUCCCGAAGAGAUCAUGGAGGCUUUGCAAGAGAACCGGAACACAGGUGCUGCAUGGCUGUCGUCAGCUCGUGUCGAGAUGUUGGGUUAAGUCCCAACGAGCGCAACCCUUGUCAUUAUUGCUACGAAAGGGCACUCUAAUGAGACUGCCGGUGACAAACCGGAGGAAGGUGGGGAUGACGCUGGUCCUCAUGGUUCAGGGUAGGGUUUCGCCACGUCAUACAAUGGCCGGGACAGAGGUCGCCAACCCGCGAGGGGGAGCCAAUCCAGAAACCCGAUCGUAGUCCGAGGUAGCCCGGCCCUGACUGCGUGAAGUCGGAAUCGCCAGUAAUCGUGAUCAGCAUGUCGCGGUGAAUACGUUCCCGGUCUUGUACACACCGCCCGUCACACCGCGAGCAGUUUUACUAUAGAAGAGUGUCGGCCCGUAGGUGAGGGCGAAUGCCGCCGUAGUAGGACGCAGAUCAGUGAAGUCGUAGAAAUCGUUACGCCUG
RNAcentral lists this ribosomal RNA (1438 nucleotides) under uncultured Bordetella sp. RNAcentral's name for it is "partial 16S-23S ribosomal RNA intergenic spacer". It matches the Rfam family "Bacterial small subunit ribosomal RNA". The record is from RNAcentral. Lineage: Bacteria; Pseudomonadati; Pseudomonadota; Betaproteobacteria; Burkholderiales; Alcaligenaceae.